UUGUAAAGCUCUUUUAGUCGGAAAGAAAGGAUUGCAACGAAUAAUUGUGAUUUAUGACGGUACCGACAGAAAAAGCACCGGCUAACUACGUGCCAGCAGCCGCGGUAAUACGUAGGGUGCGAGCGUUAAUCGGAAUUACUGGGCGUAAAGGGUGCGCAGGCGGUUUUGCAAGUCAGAUGUGAAAGCCCCGGGCUUAACCUGGGAAUUGCGUUUGAAACUACAAAGCUAGAGUGCAGCAGAGGGGAGUGGAAUUCCAUGUGUAGCAGUGAAAUGCGUAGAGAUGUGGAAGAACACCGAUGGCGAAGGCAGCUCCCUGGGUUGACACUGACGCUCAUGCACGAAAGCGUGGGGAGCAAACAGGAUUAGAUACCCUGGUAGUCCACGCCCUAAACGAUGCUCACUCGACGUACGGUAGGAAUAUUGUGCGUCCAAGCGAAAGCGAUAAGUGAGCCACCUGGGGAGUACGUCGGCAACGAUGAAACUCAAAGGAAUUGACGGGG
RNAcentral lists this ribosomal RNA (500 nucleotides) under uncultured bacterium. RNAcentral's name for it is "bacterial SSU rRNA". It matches the Rfam family "Bacterial small subunit ribosomal RNA", at positions 423 to 918 of the family's 1533-position model. The record is from RNAcentral.